This 65-nucleotide transfer RNA is filed under the name Dipodomys ordii (Ord's kangaroo rat). It matches the Rfam family "tRNA". From Rfam's summary of the family: Transfer RNA (tRNA) molecules are approximately 80 nucleotides in length. Their secondary structure includes four short double-helical elements and three loops (D, anti-codon, and T loops). The record is from Rfam by way of RNAcentral. Lineage: Eukaryota; Metazoa; Chordata; Mammalia; Rodentia; Heteromyidae.
GGUGGCUCAGUGGUAGAGCGCUUGCCUCCCAUACAGGAGGCCCUGGGUUCGAUUCCUCAGCACCA